This 404-nucleotide unclassified non-coding RNA is filed under the name soil metagenome. RNAcentral describes it as "partial contains 5.8S ribosomal RNA, internal transcribed spacer 2, and large subunit ribosomal RNA". The stretch from base 1 to 121 matches the Rfam family "5.8S ribosomal RNA", at positions 35 to 154 of the family's 154-position model. The record is from RNAcentral.
GAUGAAGAACGCAGCGAAAUGCGAUAAGUAAUGUGAAUUGCAGAAUUCAGUGAAUCAUCGAAUAUUUGAACGCACCUUGCGCCCUUUGGCUAUUCCGAAGGGCAUGCCUGUUUGAGUAUCAUGAACACCUCAACUGUCAUGGUUUGCCAUGAUGAGCUUGGACUUUGGGGGUCUUGCCGGCCUAUGGGUCGGCUCCUCUCAAAUUAAUCAGCUUGCCAGUGUUUGGUGGCAUCACAGGUGUGAUAACUAUCUACGCUUGUGGUUUUCCAUCAGGUAACCUUCAGUGAUGGAGGUUCGCUGGGGCUCAUAAAUGUCUCUCCUCAGUGAGGACAGCUUUUUUGAACGUUUGAUCUCAAAUCAGGUAGGACUACCCGCUGAACUUAAGCAUAUCAAUAAGCGGAGGA